GACGAACGCUGGCGGCAGGCCUAACACAUGCAAGUCGAGCGGAGCGGCGGACGGGUGCGUAAUGCCUAGGAAUCUGCCUGGUAGUGGGGGAUCACGUCCGGAACCGGGCGCUAAUACCGCAUACUAUCAGAUGAGCCUCGGUCGGAUUAGCUAGGUGGUGGGGUAAAGGCCUACCACGGCGACGAUCCGUAACUGGUCUGAGAGGAUGAUCAGUCAUAAUGGAACUGAGAAACGGUAAAGACUCCUACGGGAGGCAGCAGUGGGGAAUAUUGGACAAUGGGCGAAAGCCUGAGCCAGCCAUGCCGCGUGUGUGAAGAAGGUCUUCGGAUUGUAAAGCACUUUAAGUUGGGAGGCGUUACCAACAGAAUAAGCACCGGCUAACUUCGUGCCAGCAGCCGCGGUAAUUC
RNAcentral lists this ribosomal RNA (407 nucleotides) under uncultured bacterium. RNAcentral's name for it is "partial 16S ribosomal RNA". It matches the Rfam family "Bacterial small subunit ribosomal RNA", at positions 28 to 526 of the family's 1533-position model. The record is from RNAcentral.